GACAGAGGUGGCAAGCGUUGUUCGGAUUCAUUGGGUGUAAAGGGUGCGUAGGCGGCUUGGAAAGUCAGAUGUGAAAGCCUGCAGCUUAACUGCGGAAUUGCAUUUGAAACUUCCAGGCUAGAGUAUGGGAGAGGUGAAGGGAAUUCCCGGUGUAAGGGUGAAAUCUGCAGAGAUCGGGAAGAACACCAGUAGCGAAGGCGCUUCACUGGCCCACAACUGACGCUGAGUGCACGAAGGCGUGGGGAGCAAACGGG
RNAcentral lists this ribosomal RNA (254 nucleotides) under uncultured bacterium. RNAcentral describes it as "partial 16S ribosomal RNA". It matches the Rfam family "Bacterial small subunit ribosomal RNA", at positions 524 to 776 of the family's 1533-position model. The record is from RNAcentral.